GGUGUUUAAGAUAGAAGUGCUAAUGAAUGGAAGAAAACAUUUUGUUGAAAAGAGAUACAGCGAAUUUCAUGCUUUGCACAAAAAGCUUAAGAAAUGUAUAAAAACUCCAGAAAUCCCUUCUAAACAUGUUAGGAACUGGGUCCCCAAAGUCUUGGAACAGCGACGACAAGGCUUGGAAACAUACUUACAGGCUGUCAUUUUAGAAAAUGAAGAACUUCCCAAACUGUUUCUUGAUUUCCUAAAUGUGCGACACUUGCCCUCUCUACCAAAGGCAGAAAGUUGUGGAUCUUUUGAUGAAACAGAGUCUGAAGAGUCAAGCAAACUGUCCCACCAGCCUGUGCUGCUGUUCCUCAGGGAUCCAUACAUCUUGCCUGCAGCCAGCGAUGACAUCUUUAUAUUUGGCUUAAAAGAAAGAAGACCCAGUUUAAAGGAAAUAAAAUUGAGACAUACCUCUCCUGUUGCUAGAGCAACAAAAUUUUCCACUGUCUUGGGCACAACUU
RNAcentral lists this small RNA (500 nucleotides) under Pongo abelii (Sumatran orangutan). Its description in RNAcentral is "processed transcript". The record is from RNAcentral. Lineage: Eukaryota; Metazoa; Chordata; Mammalia; Primates; Hominidae.